AUUGAACGCUGGCGGCGUGCUUAACACAUGCAAGUCGAUCGGUAACAGGUGUAGCAAUACAUGCUGACGAGAGGCGGACGGGUGAGUAAUGCUUGGGAAUCUGCCUAUUAGUGGGGGACAACCCGGGGAAACUCGGGCUAAUACCGCAUACGCUCUACGGAGGAAAGCCGGGACCGCAAGGCCUGGCGCUAAUAGAUGAGCCCAAGUCGGAUUAGCUAGUUGG
This 223-nucleotide ribosomal RNA is filed under the name uncultured bacterium. Its description in RNAcentral is "partial 16S ribosomal RNA". It matches the Rfam family "Bacterial small subunit ribosomal RNA", at positions 30 to 252 of the family's 1533-position model. The record is from RNAcentral.